CAGUCGCCACGGUAAUACAGAGGGUGCGAGCGUUAAUCGGAUUUACUGGGCGUAAAGCGUGCGUAGGCGGCUUUUUAAGUCGGAUGUGAAAUCCCUGAGCUUAACUUAGGAAUUGCAUUCGAUACUGGGAAGCUAGGGUAUGGGAGAGGAUGGUAGAAUUCCAGGUGUAGCGGUGAAAUGCGUAGAGAUCUGGAGGAAUACCGAUGGCGAAGGCAGCCAUCUGGCCUAAUACUGACGCUGAGGUACGAAAGCAUGGGGAGCAAACAGGAUUAGAUACCCGGGUAGUCCCUGUCUCUUAUAC
Molecule: ribosomal RNA, 301 nt
Filed under: uncultured bacterium
Lineage: Bacteria
Description: partial 16S ribosomal RNA
Rfam family: Bacterial small subunit ribosomal RNA
Source: RNAcentral